This 892-nucleotide ribosomal RNA is filed under the name uncultured bacterium. RNAcentral describes it as "bacterial SSU rRNA". It matches the Rfam family "Bacterial small subunit ribosomal RNA", at positions 8 to 916 of the family's 1533-position model. The record is from RNAcentral.
AGAGUUUGAUCAUGGCUCAGGAUGAACGCUGGCGGCGUGCCUAAUACAUGCAAGUCGAACGGAAUAUUGUAGCAAUACAAUGUUUAGUGGCGAACGGGUGAGUAACGCGUUGGUGACCUGCCUCGAAGCGGGGGAUAACAGUCCGAAAGGAUUGCUAAUACCCCAUGUGGCCAUAAGGGUUAGAGUCCUUAUGACUAAAGGAGUAAUUCACUUCGAGAGGGGCCUGCGUCCCAUCAGCUAGUUGGUAGGGUAAUGGCCUACCAAGGCUUAGACGGGUAGGGGACCUGAGAGGGUGACCCCCCACACUGGAACUGAAAACGGUCCAGACACCUACGGGUGGCAGCAGUAGGGAAUAUUGCACAAUGGACGAAAGUCUGAUGCAGCAACGCCGCGUGUGCGAUGAAGGCCUUCGGGUUGUAAAGCACUUUUAUGAGGGAAGAGCAAGGACUGUACCUCAUGAAUAAGGAUCGGCUAACUACGUGCCAGCAGCCGCGGUAACACGUAGGAUCCAAGCGUUAUCCGGAUUUACUGGGCGUAAAGCGCGUGCAGGUGGUUUGUUAAGUUGGGUGUUAAAUCUCUUGGCUCAACUGAGAGAUGUCGCUCAAAACUAGCAGACUGGAGGACGGUAGAGGAAGGCAGAAUUCCGGGUGUAGUGGUGAAAUGGGUAGAUAUCCGGAGGAAUACCAGUGGCGAAGGCGGCCUUCUGGACCGUUCCUGACACUCAGACGCGAAAGCUAGGGGAGCAAACGGGAUUAGAAACCCCGGUAGUCCUAGCUGUAAACGAUGUGAACAUGGUGUUGGCGGGGUAAAACCUGUCGGUGCCGAAGCAAACGCGAUAAGUUCACCGCCUGGGGACUACGGCCGCAAGGUUAAAACUCAAAGGAAUUGACGG